This 420-nucleotide ribosomal RNA is filed under the name bacterium. RNAcentral's name for it is "partial 16S ribosomal RNA". It matches the Rfam family "Bacterial small subunit ribosomal RNA", at positions 355 to 776 of the family's 1533-position model. The record is from RNAcentral.
UGGGGGAUAUUGCACAAUGGGCGAAAGCCUGAUGCAGCGACGCCGCGUGGGGGAUGAAGGCUUUCGGGUUGUAAACCUCUUUCGCUAUCGAACAAGGCCCGCUUAGGGUGGGUUGAGGGUAGGUGGAGAAGAAGCGCCGGCUAACUACGUGCCAGCAGCCGCGGUAAUACGUAGGGCGCGAGCGUUGUCCGGAAUUAUUGGGCGUAAAGGGCUUGUAGGCGGCUUGUUGCGUCUGCUGUGAAAACGCGGGGCUUAACUUCGCGCGUGCAGUGGGUACGGGCAGGCUUGAGUGUGGUAGGGGUGACUGGAAUUCCAGGUGUAGCGGUGGAAUGCGCAGAUAUCUGGAGGAACACCGAUGGCGAAGGCAGGUCACUGGGCCAUUACUGACGCUGAGGAGCGAAAGCAUGGGUAGCGAACAGG